AGAAAAGUGUCUGAUUUAGGUAUUAAACUGUAAAUUUAAUUAAGAAUAGAUUGCUUUAUUCCUUUUCUA
RNAcentral lists this transfer RNA (69 nucleotides) under Bourletiella arvalis. RNAcentral's name for it is "tRNA-Tyr". Lineage: Eukaryota; Metazoa; Arthropoda; Collembola; Symphypleona; Bourletiellidae. The record is from RNAcentral.